Molecule: long non-coding RNA, 882 nt
Organism: Dermochelys coriacea (leatherback sea turtle)
Lineage: Eukaryota; Metazoa; Chordata; Testudines; Dermochelyidae
Exons: 3
Source: RefSeq, a predicted model, not a curated record
UGGGAAAAGAUGAAUAUAAUCUCAAUGGGGAUGGAGAAUGUACCCCCGGGAAGCCUUCCUGCCUCUUGACCCACAAUCAAUGAACUUUGGGCAGACAGCAGUGCGUCUACACCCCAGCAGGAGAAAGAAAUUUGGUCUGGGCUUACUUUUCAAAGAAUACAUUUCAAAGGUUUACUUGGCUAUAAAAACAGGAGUUCUGAAUCUCUAAUGAUAAGCAAUUGAAUCACCUGCUUAUACACAAUAUUACUGUAUUAUCAAACUGUAUCAAGCAAACUCUUAUGAAAGCCUGCGACACACUGGUGAUUAAUAUCAUUGUGAAAUGUCUGCAUUAAUACUACGUGAGGAAUGAUGAAUAUGCAGUGAUAUUAUGCUUUGAAGUCUGUGACCAAACACAGGGAAAAACAGGUUCUCUCUCAGUGAGGAAGGAAGGCAGGCAACUAUCUACCGGUCUGAAAUAUAAAUUAAGCAUUACUGAAUCAAAACAACAGAAGCCCAUUUACAUACAAAUCAGUAAGGGAUGGGAAGUCAACAGGAAGGGAGGAACAGCAGGAAGCCUUCCUGAUUCUUAUAACAUAGUUAAUGAAAUUUGGGAAAUAUGAGCAGAAACAGAAAGCUAUUUUGGGACCCACAACAUGGGGGAUCAAGCAGCCAGAGCUCUUGAUUUCAAGGUGGUUGAAGUCUCUGGAAACUAAAUACAUGUGUGUGGAUGCCCAGAGAUUGCAAUGUUCACCCUCAAGUCUUUAAGAGUGUGCAACGACUCAUCUGUUUUGUCCAUGAAAAAUUUGGAUCCCUUGAACGGUAAAGCAGAUGAUCCAGAAUAAACUGAAACGAGCCCAUGAAGGAGAACCUCGGCCCACAGCGAACUUCUUCCACUUCAAAAGG